Molecule: transfer RNA, 54 nt
Filed under: Ornithodoros asperus
Lineage: Eukaryota; Metazoa; Arthropoda; Arachnida; Ixodida; Argasidae
Description: tRNA-Ser
Source: RNAcentral
UAAGACUAUAUAUAAGGCUGCUAACCUUUAUUUAAUGAUUCCAUUUGGUCUUUA